RNAcentral lists this ribosomal RNA (429 nucleotides) under bacterium. RNAcentral's name for it is "partial 16S ribosomal RNA". It matches the Rfam family "Bacterial small subunit ribosomal RNA", at positions 355 to 776 of the family's 1533-position model. The record is from RNAcentral.
UAGGGAAUCUUCGGCAAUGGGGGCAACCCUGACCGAGCAACGCCGCGUGAGUGAAGAAGGUUUUCGGAUCGUAAAGCUCUGUUGUAAGAGAAGAACGUGUGUGAGAGUGGAAAGUUCACACAGUGACGGUAACUUACCAGAAAGGGACGGCUAACUACGUGCCAGCAGCCGCGGUAAUACGUAGGUCCCGAGCGUUGUCCGGAUUUAUUGGGCGUAAAGCGAGCGCAGGCGGUUUAAUAAGUCUGAAGUUAAAGGCAGUGGCUUAACCAUUGUCCGCUUUGGAAACUGUUAAACUUGAGUGCAGAAGGGGAGAGUGGAAUUCCAUGUGUAGCGGUGAAAUGCGUAGAUAUAUGGAGGAACACCGGUGGCGAAAGCGGCUCUCUGGUCUGUAACUGACGCUGAGGCUCGAAAGCGUGGGGAGCAAACAGG